GUGCCAGCCGCCGCGGUAAUACGUAGGGGUCGAGCGUUGUCCGGAGUUACUGGGCGUAAAGCGCGUGCAGGUGGCUCAUUACGCCCGGCGUGAAAGCCCCCGGCUCAACCGGGGAGGGUCGUCGGGGACGGGUGAGCUUGAGGGUAGCAGGGGCUGGUAGAAUUCCCGGUGUAGUGGUGAAAUGCGUAGAGAUCGGGAGGAAUACCCGUGGCGAAGGCGGCCAGCUGGGCUACACCUGACACUGAGACGCGAAGGCGUGGGGAGCGAACGGGAUUAGAAACCCCUGUAGUCC
This 292-nucleotide ribosomal RNA is filed under the name uncultured bacterium. Its description in RNAcentral is "partial 16S ribosomal RNA". It matches the Rfam family "Bacterial small subunit ribosomal RNA", at positions 505 to 796 of the family's 1533-position model. The record is from RNAcentral.